RNAcentral lists this transfer RNA (72 nucleotides) under Armatimonadota bacterium. RNAcentral's name for it is "Armatimonadetes bacterium (glacier metagenome) tRNA-Val". It matches the Rfam family "tRNA". From Rfam's summary of the family: Transfer RNA (tRNA) molecules are approximately 80 nucleotides in length. Their secondary structure includes four short double-helical elements and three loops (D, anti-codon, and T loops). Further hydrogen bonds mediate the characteristic L-shaped molecular structure. tRNAs have two regions of fundamental functional importance: the anti-codon, which is responsible for specific mRNA codon recognition, and the 3' end, to which the tRNAs corresponding amino acid is attached (by aminoacyl-tRNA synthetases). tRNAs cope with the degeneracy of the genetic code in two manners: having more than one tRNA (with a specific anti-codon) for a particular amino acid; and 'wobble' base-pairing, i.e. permitting non-standard base-pairing at the 3rd anti-codon position. Lineage: Bacteria; Bacillati; Armatimonadota. The record is from RNAcentral.
GGUCGGUUGGCUCAGUGGUAGAGCACUGCCUUCACACGGCAGGGGUCACAAGUUCGAAUCUUGUACCGACCA